RNAcentral lists this non-coding RNA (28 nucleotides) under Homo sapiens (human). The record is from RNAcentral. Lineage: Eukaryota; Metazoa; Chordata; Mammalia; Primates; Hominidae.
GGUGAUGGCAUGAUCUUUUGUGAACGAA